This 432-nucleotide ribosomal RNA is filed under the name uncultured bacterium. RNAcentral's name for it is "bacterial SSU rRNA". It matches the Rfam family "Bacterial small subunit ribosomal RNA", at positions 28 to 507 of the family's 1533-position model. The record is from RNAcentral.
GAUUAACGCUAGCGGUGUGUCUUAUACAUGCAAGUCGAGCGCCCCCUUGUGGGGAGCGGCGGACGAGUGAGUAACGCGUGAGAAUCUGCCCUCAGGAGGGGGACAACAGCUGGAAACGGCUGCUAAUACCCCAUAUGCCGCGAGGUGAAAUGAAUUUCGCCUGAGGAUGAGCUCGCGUCUGAUUAGCUAGUUGGUGUAGGUAAUGGCUCACCAAGGCAUCGAUCAGUAGCUGGUCUGAGAGGAUGAUCAGCCACACUGGGACUGAGACACGGCCCAGACUCCUACGGGAGGCUGCAGCAGGGAAUAUUGCGCAAUGAGCGAAAGCUUGACGCAGCGACACCGCGUGUGGGAUGACGGUUCUAGGAUUGUAAACCACUUUCAGGAGGGAAGAAAAUGACGGUACCUCCACAAGAAGACCCGGCCAACUACGUG